Molecule: ribosomal RNA, 812 nt
Filed under: Comamonas sp. PD1
Lineage: Bacteria; Pseudomonadati; Pseudomonadota; Betaproteobacteria; Burkholderiales; Comamonadaceae
Description: bacterial SSU rRNA
Rfam family: Bacterial small subunit ribosomal RNA
Source: RNAcentral
GGCGGCAUGCUUUACACAUGCAAGUCGAACGGUAACAGGUCUUCGGAUGCUGACGAGUGGCGAACGGGUGAGUAAUACAUCGGAACGUGCCUAGUAGUGGGGGAUAACUACUCGAAAGAGUAGCUAAUACCGCAUGAGAUCUACGGAUGAAAGCAGGGCGGCUGAUGGCAGAUUAGGUAGUUGGUGGGGUAAAGGCUUUACCAAGCCUGCGAUCUGUAGCUGGUCUGAGAGGACGACCAGCCACACUGGGACUGAGACACGGCCCAGACUCCUACGGGAGGCAGCAGUGGGGAAUUUUGGACAAUGGGCGAAAGCCUGAUCCAGCAAUGCCGCGUGCAGGAUGAAGGCCCUCGGGUUGUAAACUGCUUUUGUACGGAACGAAAAGCCUGGGGCUAAUAUCCUCGGGUCAUGACGGUACCGUAAGAAUAAGCACCGGCUUAACUACGUGCCAGCAGCCGCGGUAAUACGUAGGGUGCAAGCGUUAAUCGGAAUUACUGGGCGUAAAGCGUGCGCAGGCGGUUUUGUAAGACAGUGGUGAAAUCCCCGGGCUCAACCUGGGAACUGCCAUUGUGACUGCAAGGCUAGAGUGCGGCAGAGGGGGAUGGAAUUCCGCGUGUAGCAGUGAAAUGCGUAGAUAUGCGGAGGAACACCGAUGGCGAAGGCAAUCCCCUGGGCCUGCACUGACGCUCAUGCACGAAAGCGUGGGGAGCAAACAGGAUUAGAUACCCUGGUAGUCCACGCCCUAAACGAUGUCAACUGGUUGUUGGGUACUUAACUGACUCAGUAACGAAGCUAACGCGUGGACCUUCGGG